UGGGGAAUAUUGGGCAAUGGGCGAAAGCCUGACCCAGCAACGCCGCGUGAGGGAAGAAGGCCUUCGGGUUGUAAACCUCUGUCCUUAGUGACGAAGGAAGUGACGGUAGCUAAGGAGGAAGCCCCGGCUAACUACGUGCCAGCAGCCGCGGUAAUACGUAGGGGGCGAGCGUUGUCCGGAAUUACUGGGCGUAAAGGGUGCGUAGGCGGUACUUUAAGUUGGAUGUGAAAUCCCCGGGCUUAACCUGGGGCCUGCAUCCAAUACUGGAGAACUAGAGUGCAGGAGAGGGAAGCGGAAUUCCUAGUGUAGCGGUGAAAUGCGUAGAUAUUAGGAAGAACACCAGUGGCGAAGGCGGCUUUCUGGACUGUAACUGACGCUGAGGCACGAAAGCGUGGGGAGCAAACAGGAUUAGAUACCCUGGUAGU
This 425-nucleotide ribosomal RNA is filed under the name uncultured Oxobacter sp. RNAcentral's name for it is "bacterial SSU rRNA". It matches the Rfam family "Bacterial small subunit ribosomal RNA", at positions 355 to 794 of the family's 1533-position model. The record is from RNAcentral. Lineage: Bacteria; Bacillati; Bacillota; Clostridia; Eubacteriales; Clostridiaceae.